CCAUGAGAACCUUGAUUUGUAAUAACAGCUCUUCCCCCACCCCAGGCUGUUCCCUAGCUGGGAUUUCAUUUCCCCAUGGCACAGACUAAUAAUUAAGAGGCCUUGGAAGAGCAGGGAGGGAGGGGUCAGGUUUCCCCCCCAUCAAGCAGAGGGGGCGGAUGACGGAGGCCGGAUGGUUUAUAGGGAGCUGGAGGUCGGGAAGCUGCAUCCCAGCUGCAGAGAUUGCUUAAUUCCAGCUGCAGUGAGUGGGGCUGGGCUGGUGUUCGGGGCUCAGUGGGGCUGGGGUGGCGUGUGGAGGCAGUGGGACUGGAGCAGUGUGCAAAGAGGGGAAUGGGGGCUUGUUGGCCAGGAUGGGGGACCUGGGACACGCCAAGCCCAGUGACCAUGCGGCCUGCAGUGUCCAUCGCACUGAUCCUCGUGGCUCUGACGGUCCUGGCAGACUCUGCUCAGGCUCAACCCACAGAGCCAACCCUGACCAAAAAGUUGGAGAACUUCCAGAACAAGCUGCAGGCCUUUGCUGACAGCAUUGCAGAUAAAACCAAAGCCGCCUUCCAAGAACUGCAUCACAGCGAGUUCAGCGAAAAGACCCGGUUUCCGUGCCUUGCUCGAGUCUCAGGAAGGAGCCACGCUCUCUACGACAGCAAGGAUGGGGCGGAUGGAUCUGAAAAUUGCAGUGGCCUUCGUCCUGCUGCUGUUUCUCUGCACUGA
Molecule: long non-coding RNA, 708 nt
Filed under: Chrysemys picta bellii (western painted turtle)
Lineage: Eukaryota; Metazoa; Chordata; Testudines; Emydidae
Description: lncRNA (ENSCPBG00000014721.1)
Source: RNAcentral